RNAcentral lists this ribosomal RNA (253 nucleotides) under uncultured bacterium. RNAcentral's name for it is "partial 16S ribosomal RNA". It matches the Rfam family "Bacterial small subunit ribosomal RNA", at positions 524 to 776 of the family's 1533-position model. The record is from RNAcentral.
UACAGAGGGUGCGAGCGUUGUCCGGAAUCACUGGGCGUAAAGGGCGCGUAGGCGGCUACUUAAGCGUGUGGUGAAAGUCCGGGGCUCAACCCCGGAUCGGCCGUGCGAACUGAGUGGCUCGAGCACUGUAGAGGCAGGUGGAAUUCCGGGUGUAGCGGUGGAAUGCGUAGAGAUCCGGAAGAACACCGGUGGCGAAGGCGGUUCUCUGGGCAUGAUCUGACGCUGAGGAGCGAAAGUGUGGGGAGCGAACAGG